CCUACGGGAGGCAGCAGUGAGGAAUAUUGGUCAAUGGACGAGAGUCUGAACCAGCCAAGUAGCGUGAAGGAUGACUGCCCUAUGGGUUGUAAACUUCUUUUAUAUGGGAAUAAAAUGUUCCACGUGUGGGAUUUUGUAUGUACCAUAUGAAUAAGGAUCGGCUAACUCCGUGCCAGCAGCCGCGGUAAUACGGAGGAUCCGAGCGUUAUCCGGAUUUAUUGGGUUUAAAGGGAGCGUAGGUGGAUUGUUAAGUCAGUUGUGAAAGUUUGCGGCUCAACCGUAAAAUUGCAGUUGAAACUGGCAGUCUUGAGUACAGUAGAGGUGGGCGGAAUUCGUGGUGGAGCGGUGAAAUGCUUAGAGAUCACGAAGAACUCCGAUUGCGAAGGCAGCUCACUGGACUGCAACUGACACUGAGGCUCGAAAGUGUGGGGAUCAAACAGGAUUAGAUACCCUGGUAGUC
Molecule: ribosomal RNA, 460 nt
Filed under: uncultured bacterium
Lineage: Bacteria
Description: partial 16S ribosomal RNA
Rfam family: Bacterial small subunit ribosomal RNA
Source: RNAcentral